This 1947-nucleotide long non-coding RNA is filed under the name Macaca fascicularis (crab-eating macaque). Its description in RNAcentral is "lncRNA (ENSMFAG00000053368.1)". The record is from RNAcentral. Lineage: Eukaryota; Metazoa; Chordata; Mammalia; Primates; Cercopithecidae.
AAAAUGAGGCUGAAACCUAUUGGGCUGCAUUCCCGGAUGGUUAAGGCACUCUAAGUCACAGGAUGAGAUAGAAGCAAGGCAAGUUACUUCUAUAGAAGGGUGCGCCCUUACGGAUGGAGCAAUGCAGGACUACUUGUUGCGAUUUGAGGAGGGAGGUGUCUUACCCCAGAGCCUGGCUGGAGAAGACUGAGGUUCAAGGCUUGAAGCCUAAGUGAUUGCCCCAGGACCUUGGAUGAUGGCCACAGAGAUAUCGAAAGUGACCCUCCGCUGAGCCCCUUAGUCCAGGUGCCUCAAGAGUUUAACAAGAACAAGACAACUCUUCAAUUCCUGUGACUAUCACAACCCCACAUCCUUCAGGAGGAUGAGCACUACUGCAUAAGCUAAGCUUCUCUUUCACCUUUACCUCAUCCAAGUACACCAUGGGUCAAGUGUAGGUAUGGAAUCUUCGAAGUGCCAGGGUUUGUCACCACCUUACUCACCACCACCAGUGGGGUUUUUGUUGCCACCAUACCAUUGAGAAUAUACUUUCUAUAGUCACUUCCAGUACCCGUUACCUUAAUUUGAGUUCUUCCAAAAUCAAACCUUGUGACAAAGCUUUGGAUACAAGAGUCUAUCUUGGAGAGGAUCCCAGGUGGAGCAAGUGAGUGAGUGUGGAAAGUGAGAGAGGUGAAACAGAAAACUGAAUUGAUGAAUGGGUUAUUACUGUGGGCAAUUUGGGCUCUUUCCCAUUUGGGACCUCUGAGGAACCACACAGAAUGCCUUAUAAUAGUCCCACCAAGGUAUGGGAUGGUUGGAUAUUAAUCCACUGAUCCUCAUCCUUCAUGGGUUGAGGGGUGUUCUGUCCCCAGCAAUUCUAGGAUGCCUUGUGAAGGUUGGGCAAGCUUUUGUUGUACUGGAAGAAAUCCUCAGAGAAGCAGAAUGAGGCAGGUGCUUGAGUGGGCAAGCCGUCAGCAUGCUUAGGAUUCCUAAGUUCACUGCAGCUGCAGGUCAGGUCAGCUCAGUUCAGGGGACAUGGGGAAGGGCAUCAAGACAGUCUGCUACCUAUUCUUCAGUAAUUCAUAUGGAAAAAUCAGGAGGCAGUGCCUGUUAAACAUCGUGGACUGAACACAUGUGUUUAUCACAGCUCCAUCCUGAAGCCUCUCUGAAAUGACUGAAAAGAAAUAAAAAACAAUCUUAUAAAAACUGGAAGGAUAAAGAGAACAGAAGAGGCAACAACAGACAAGAACUAGCAACAAAAUGCUGGAAGAUGGAAGGCAGAUGGGUGAGCGGUAACAAAGUUAGCAGAGCAACAAGAAAGUUUGCUUUGCUGUGAAAAAUAUCAGAAAACAAAAGCAAUAUAGGGCGCUGUAGCAGAAGCUGUCCCUGCUCUACCUAUGUCAUCUGGGAUCCCUCUGCCAUCUCUUUGUAGACCAGCUGGAUUCCAGUGUGCAUUCUUUCACAGAAGCCAGCAUUCUGCUGGAAGGUGCAAGAGAGCCAGAAGCGCCUGAGAAUUUGUGUCCCUUCCCUCCCGGCACAGCCCUUAACCAAUGACUGAUGAGGGUGGGGACAGACAUACUCCAGCUCUUUUGCCGUCUCACUGGGAUGACUUUGAGGUGUGAUCUAUGAUGUUCCCCCAAGCCCUCUGUGGGAAUGAAUCAAAAUUGCCUUCCAAUUGGGACUUGACUUGAUGUUUUACCCUUACGUGGCCUCUUUCUACUCCUACUUUCUCACUUCUCUCUUUUCCCUGGGAAUAUUUCCUAAGAAAUCACUUUCAUGUGCAUUUUCCUCUAGUGCAGCACUGCUUGAAGAUAAUUCUGUUUCAGUGAUGUAGGAGUGUGUGUGUGUGUGCACGUGCACGCACGCGUGCACACGUGCAUGCAUUGGGUUAUCAUUUAACAUGAAUUUCUUAUCGUGAAGCCAGUUUGAAAGCCACUCUUCUAUACCACAUUAAACUGCCUGUUUGUUCAC